UGGCCAUAGCAAGUGAAACAAAUGUGUGCAGGAGUUCAGUGUGAAUAAAGUAAACCUGAUAACUUACAAUCUUUACCUGGCAAAAUGUGUGUGUGUGUGUGUGUGUGUGUGUGUGUGUGUGUUUAGGAUAAAAUGUGUAGCCAA
This is a non-coding RNA of Podarcis lilfordi (Lilford's wall lizard), 144 nucleotides long. The record is from the annotation of a GenBank genome assembly. Lineage: Eukaryota; Metazoa; Chordata; Lepidosauria; Squamata; Lacertidae.